This 30-nucleotide non-coding RNA is filed under the name Mus musculus (house mouse). The record is from RNAcentral. Lineage: Eukaryota; Metazoa; Chordata; Mammalia; Rodentia; Muridae.
UGCAAGACAGACAAUGCAGGGCCAUCACGA